This is a long non-coding RNA of Folsomia candida, 406 nucleotides long. RefSeq lists it as uncharacterized. Lineage: Eukaryota; Metazoa; Arthropoda; Collembola; Entomobryomorpha; Isotomidae. The record is from RefSeq and is a predicted model, not a curated record. The transcript has 2 exons.
GUCAACCAGAACAUUUAGUACUUAAAAUAAAUUGUUCUCUUAGUCAAGCGAGAAUUAUUAAAGCGUUUAGUAACUCUUUUGACUUACAUUAUACAUAAAUCAGAUUUAAAAAUAAACUAACUGAAAAUCGAAACCGUAAUAAAUCAUGCCAGAGCCAAAUACCUCAACGCCGCCUGCAAACCCGAAGCCACACACGACUCCAGAGGUCGUGCAACAAGUGAGAAUCCCUAUUGCGCCGGGCAGAAGACUUCCACCUGGCAGCCGAUGCUGCUGUCUUAUUUUAUGAAGAAUUUUUAAAAAUAUUGAAAAUUACAGAUCGUGUAAUCCUUGGGGUUUCUUAAUAUAAAUUUAUUACCACUAUUCUGAAGAAGAUCGCGAUAUCUGAUUAAAUUUAUAUUAAAAGGAA